This 502-nucleotide ribosomal RNA is filed under the name uncultured bacterium. Its description in RNAcentral is "partial 16S ribosomal RNA". It matches the Rfam family "Bacterial small subunit ribosomal RNA", at positions 899 to 1397 of the family's 1533-position model. The record is from RNAcentral.
ACUCAAAUGAAUUGACGGGGGCCCGCACAAGCGGUGGAGCAUGUGGUUCAAUUCGACGCAACGCGAAGAACCUUACCAGCUCUUGACAUUAGACGUAUGGGGCCGAGAGAUCGGCUCCUUCAGUUCGGCUGGCGUCCAAACAGGUGCUGCAUGGCUGUCGUCAGCUCGUGUCGUGAGAUGUUGGGUUAAGUCCCGCAACGAGCGCAACCCUCAUCUUCAGUUGCCAUCAGGUUAAGCUGGGCACUCUGAAGAAACUGCCGGUGACAAGCCGGAGGAAGGUGGGGAUGACGUCAAGUCCUCAUGGCCCUUAUGGGCUGGGCUACACACGUGCUACAAUGGCGACUACAGUGGGAUGCGACGGAGCGAUCCUGAGCUAAUCCCCAAAGGUCGCCUCAGUUCGGAUUGCACUCUGCAACUCGAGUGCAUGAAGUCGGAAUCGCUAGUAAUCGCGCAUCAGCACGGCGCGGUGAAUACGUUCCCGGGCCUUGUACACACCGCCCGU